GCAAGUCGAACGAACUCUUCGGAGUUAGUGGCGCACGGGUGCGGAACACGUGGGAAUGUACCCCUAGGUAAGGAAUAACUGCUGGAAACGGUAGCUAAUACCUUAUAAUAUCUUCGGAUCAAAGAUUUAUCGCCUAGGGAUCAGCCCGCGUCUGAUUAGUUUGUUGGUGAGGUAAUGGCUCACCAAGACUACGAUCAGUAGGGGGUCUGAGAGGAUGAUC
RNAcentral lists this ribosomal RNA (220 nucleotides) under uncultured bacterium. Its description in RNAcentral is "partial 16S ribosomal RNA". It matches the Rfam family "Bacterial small subunit ribosomal RNA", at positions 57 to 305 of the family's 1533-position model. The record is from RNAcentral.